GCAAGGCAGCAGCAGCGACGCUGGAGUCUGGUCCAGGUGCUGGACCAGAAUCAGGAGAGGAGAUAUGCUCGGCACCACCGGCGGAAGGUGAAGUAGCUGGUGCACUGGCGGCCAUGACGGCGCUCAUUGAGGCAGCGGCAACAAUGAUGGCGGUGGAGAUCUUCUUCAUGUCCAUGGUGUUAUGAAGGGAUUAUUAAACGUAAAGGGAAUGAAAGAGACCUGCGUUUAAUUACAGGUGAAUGGGGUUUCCCCGGUGAUUGUUGUUAUUUGCUUUGUUAUUGCAGGUCUGAAGAAAAAGGAUGGUGGGGAAGGUGAUUUUAUAGGUGGAAUUUCAUGGCUAUUUUUAGCGACGGCUCCGUUUUCGUCGGCGAAAAUAGUUGCAAAAUUUUGAAUUUGUUUUUUUAAAUGAUUUGACCGGGUUUUUAGAUGAUAGGUUUUAAAUAGAAAGGAUAUUUUUUUAUUUUUUUUAAUUUUAAUUAUUAAACUAUAAAAAUAUUAAAAUGUUUUUUAUUCGAAUUUUAAUUUCCCUUUAAUUAUUAAAUCAUGUGUCUCAUAUAUUUGAUUUAUUGAUUUUUUAAUAAUAUCAUUUGAGAGCAUAGUUUCUUAAUCUCAUUGAAAUUUUUUUAAUAUUUAAAAUUAUUUUUUUAUUUACUCUUAAAAUUAUAUCUCUUUCCGAAAUAAUAUUUUUGGUUCGUUUUAUAUUUUUCUUUUCAUCUAUUUAAUUUGUCGCAUUUAGAACCAAAUUUUAGCAUUAAAAAAAUUAUAAUUUAACAGUUACAAUUUUUUUCCUUUACAAAAUCUCAUUGAAUUUUUUAAUAUUUUUAUUUACUCAGAAAUUAUAUCUCGUACAAAAUCCUCUUUUUGAAAUAUGAGAAAAUACCUUAAAAUAUGAGACAAUACAAAAAAUUAUGAGGCAAUACUAAAAAAAUGAAGAAAUGCAAAAAAAAUUAUAAGAAAAUACGAAAAAAAAUAUGAGAUAGUACCAAAAAAAUAUGAUGGGAUACCAAUUGUGGUUCGUCUUAGUAAAUUUGUUUUAUUUAUUAAAUUAUUCAUAUUUUUUUCUUGCCAAAAUUUUUCUGAAAAUAUGAUAAUUUAAAAGUUAUCACUUCUUCGUUACAAAAUCUCAUUGAAUUUUCUUAAUAUUUAAAAAUAAUAUUCUUUUUACUCCAAAUGUUUAUCUCUUAUCAAAUCUUUAUUUUGAAACUAUACUACAAAUUACGAGGGAAUACCCAAAAUUAUGAGAAUAUACCAAGAGGAAAUACAAAAAAGUUUAAGUUUUAUCAAACACAUUAAUGUUUAAAUUGUAGUUUGAAUCGUUUGAGAUGAUAAUUUUUUUGUAGUCCCUUAAAAUUUUAUAAACUGAUAAAAUUAUACUUUAAUCCCUCAUAAAAAAUAAUUUAAUUUUGAUUCUCUAAAUAAAUAUUUGGCAUUAAACAAAAACAAAAUGAAAUUUUUAUAAUAUAGGGAUGAUAGGAUUUCAACCCAUAUCAUUUGGGUGUUAAAUGAAAGCUUUAAUAAUUUAUUAUUUGAUUAAUUUCAACAUUAAUUAACAAAUAGACCAACAACAUCUCGAACCAAACCCUAAUACAAUGUUAUUCAUCACGAGAGAUUAGAGAGUCACACAUAUUCAAUCACCAACUUAAGUGAUUGUCUCCAUUUAGAAGCAAAGAAAAUAAUAAGAUGAUGAUUAGAUUGUGGUCGCAGAUACAAUUGAGACCGUCAUUGAUAUAAUACAUUUAAUAUAUUAAUUAUAUUUUCUUUUGUAGUUAUUCGAAUCUAUUAAUUAUAAUACAUUUAUUUAUUUGUGAAUAUUUUGCUCUCAUAAUUGUGAACACAUAAACAUGAAAUAUUCAUCAAAGCUCCAUUUUAUUCAUUUCCAAUAUUUUCAAUAUUCAUCGCAUGGUUUUCAUACAUUUAGAUGAUUACAGAAAGUAAGAAACGAAAGAAACAAGGGAAGCCCCAACCAAGGAUCCAAGAACAGGCAAGGUGGCGGCAGCGACGCUGGAAUCCGCUCCCGGUGCUGCAGCAGAAGCAGGAGAGGAGCUAGGGCCAGAACCACCUUCGGAAGGGGCAGGAGCUGGGACACCGGCGGCCAUGACGGCGCUCAUUGAGGCGGCAGCAACAAUGAUGGCGGUGGAGACCUUCUUCAUGUCCAUGGCGUAGAAAGGGAUUAUUAAACGCACCGGAAAUGAAUGAGACCUACUGGUGAAUGGGGAUCCGCCGGUGAUUGUUAUUAUUUGCUUUGUUAUUGUAGGCCUGAAGAAAAAGGGUGGUGGGGAAGGUGAUUUUAUAGGUGCAAAUUCAUGGCUAUUUUUAGUAACGGUUUUAGUAUUCGUUGGCAAAAAUAAAGCUAUUUUACGUGUUUGGUUUUGCAUGGUUUGUGCAAAAUUUUGAAUACCAUUUUAACGAUUUAAUAGGGUACUCUCUCUGAUAAGAGAUUUUAAAUUUUAAAAUUAAAAGAUAAAGCUUAUUUUAUUUUAAAAUUAAUUAUUAAAUUAUACCAAUUAAUUGUUUAAACUCAAUAUUAAUUCAAUUAUAAAUUUUUUUAUAUAAUUAUAAAAAAAAUGAUAAAGAUUUAUGAUUUGGGUGUAAAUUUUAUGUAAAUAAUAUUUAUUAAAAUUUAUAUAACUAUAAAAAAAUAUUAUAUAAGAACUUUUUGGUUAAAAUGGUAGAGCAUGGGCAUAGUCAGAGAGGGUUGGUCCCCUCACAAUGGAAAAUUUUCAUCUAAAUUUUUUAAAUUUUUAAAAAAUUUAAAUUAUUAAAGAUAAAAUUAUACUUUGACCCCCUUAAAAAUGAUAAAAAUUUGAUUAAUCCUUUCAAAACUAUAAAGAUAUAGGCUAUUCAAAUAUUAAAAUUGUAUUUUUAUUAUAAUAAAAAUUAAAAUUUAAUUUCAAACCCCUUAAAAAUGUUUACUGUGUUCGCCCCUGUGGUAAAAUUAAAAAUUUUAAAAUAAUAAAUUUUUAGUCAUUUAUCAACAGAAUUGAUGUCGAAUUAUUUCAUGACAUUAUAAUUCAACUAAAGAUUUUAAGUGUAGAUUUGAAUUAAAAGAAAGGGUAAUUGAAUAUUCUUACUUCAAUUUUUUUACCUUAAUUUUUAACUUUUUAAUAUAAUAUCUAAUUUUAAUUAUGAUUCUCUAAACUCUUAAAUUAGUUGAAAAUGCAUGCUUAAACACCUUCAAAUCUACGUCUUUUUAAUUUUUACAAUGACAAUAAUGUCAACUGAACUAAAACUUAAUCAAAUUUUUUUAAAGGAAUAACAACAUAUUAUUUAUUCCCUUUAGAUUUUAACAUAAAAUACUUAAAGGGAGGGUUAUAAUAGAAAACUCAUGACAAUAAUCAUCUUUCCUUUUUGUUCUUAUUAUCGUUUAUUUAAAAAUGUGUUAAUAUUAUACUUAAGUCGGUAAAUUCUAGUUAUAUAUAUAAAAAAAAAGAACUAGUUUUCUUAUUUGGUGAUACACAAUUUUGAUUGUAUGUGUCAAUUAAAAAAUAUUAAAAUUAAUAAUUUUAUACGAAUGUAAUUUAAUUAUCGAUAUUAUAAAUAAAUUUAAUUUUAUUGCAGGUAAAACUAUAUUUUAGAGUUACUUUUUUAAUGUUUUUAUAGAGUUUUUUAAUUCUUAAAUAGGGGGACUAUUAUAAAUAUUUUUAUUCUUAAAAUGCAUUUUAUUUAUUAAUAUUUUUAUAUUUUACAUAUUAUCUUUCAAAAUAGUAUAUUUUUAUUUGGUGUCUCAAAAUUUUAAAAUUUCUUAAUUACUUUAUAUAAUUUAGAGUCUAUUAACAUUUGAUCCCUUUUAAUCUAUUUUUGUAAAAAUUAUAAAAAUAUAAUUAAAUACAUAUUUUAAUUCUCAUAAAAAUGUAUAUUUUAAUUUCAAUUUUUUUAAAAAAUUCGAGUUAAAUAAUUCAUUGUUAUUUUCAUGUUAUUCAUUGUUAUCAGUUCAAUAAAUCGAAAAGUAAAACAUUAACACAAAAUAUUCAAAGCUCUAUUUUAUUCAAUAUUUUCAAUAUUCAUCACAUGUUUCUUUCAAAAAAAAAAAAAUCGUUCACAUGUUGAUUUUUCGUACAUGUAGCUUACUGCAGCAUGUAAGAAAACAAAGAAACAAUGGAAGCCCCAACCAAUGAUCCAAGAACAGGCAAGGUAGCGGCAGCCAUGCUGGAAUCCGGUCCUGAUGCUGGAGCGGAACCAGGAGAGGAGCUAGGACUAGAACCACCGGCUGAAGGGGCAGGAGAUGGUGCACCGGCAGCCAUGACGGCGCUCAUUGAGGCGGCAGCAACAAUGAUGGCGGUGGAGACCUUCUUCAUGUCCAUGGCGUAUAAAGUGAUUAUUAAACGCACAGGAAAUGAGAGGGACCUGCGUUUAAUUACCGGUGAAUGGGGAUCCGCCGAUGAUUGUUAUUAUUUGCUUUGUUAUUGCAGGUCUGAAGAACAAUGAUGGUGGGGAGGAUCAUUUAUAGGUGAAAAUUCAUGGCUAUUUUUAGUGACGAAAUUUUUUUAAAAAAAUUACGUGUUCGGUUUUCGCAUGGUUUGCGGGAUAGACAUGCAAUUUUUUUAAAUAUUUUUUUAACGAUUUUGACUGGUUUUUAGAUAAGGAGAUUUUUGAUAAAUUAUAAUAAGAAGGGAAUUUUUUUUUUGGUAACAAGAAAAGGAUUAAAAAAUUAACAAGAAAUAUAUAACGGGAUUCGAACACACAAACAUGCUAUCCAUCCUUACAAGAUGACUGACUAAAGAAGGGGCACUAUGAAAUAUCUGUGUGCCAACCGGUGCUUCCUUCAUCAUAUCAGCCAACGAGUGUGCUAUAGAGUUAACUUCUCUUGGAAUCUAUUUGAAGACAACAUUUAAAUCACAACUUAUUAACUCUCGAAUUAUAAGAACCAAAUCUCUCUGAACACACCCUCUCAAUUCGCCAAUAAUUCCUUUAAAGGCAAGUACACAAUCUAUUUCCACUAAGAUAUCUCGUCAUUGGGCAUCCCAUGCCAUAAUAAGCCCAUUAUAGAUCGCCUAAAGCUCCGCUUGCUCCACACCACACCUACCAAUAUUUCUACUUACUCCAUGAGUCCAAUUGCCAAAUUCAUCUCUCACCACUGCUGCCGAAGCUGCCAAACUCAAUACUGGAUCAUGGGCCCUAUCAGUAUUCAAUUUAAUGGUACCCGUCGGAAGAGGGAUCCAUCGGGUACACCUAGUUUGUCUUCUGGAACAAUCAUCCGGUCUUCCAGCUGUGCACUUAGAGCAUUAACCUAAUUCCAUGAAGAGUGAAAGAUAAAAUCUUUACUGAACGGAACAUCCUGGAACACAUACAAACAUCUAUGUUUCCAAAUCUUCCAACAGAGCAUACCAAACAGAGACCUUCAAUCAAGUUCAUGAAAAACUAAGCCAAAUACAUUCCUCAACUUAACCCUUAGCCAGUCUUUCGCGAGUAAGAGAAGAAACGAUGCAAUAAUCUCGGAGGAAUAACCUGCUCCCAAAUAUCUCUUACCUUACAACAAUCCUUUAAGGAAUGAAUAAUAGAUUCAUUUUUACAUCUGCAAAACUUACAAGAAGAAGAAUCUGACAUACCUCUUCUACAAUGUUCCACAUUAGUUAAUAAGCGUUCCUUGAAAACCAUCCAAAGAAAUUGUCUUACACGUUGUGGCCUUGCAAAAGACCAGACGAUUUUCCAACUAUCUUACGAAGGAUUCAAGGCAUCUUUAUUGAGAAAAUUAUAGGUAGACUUAACUGAUAAACUCCCAUUAAAAUAUCAUUGUGAUAUCAUUGAAUCGGGACCAACUAGGCAAUUAGGAACUGGAAUACCUGCAAUGUAAGAUAAAAUAAUAUCAUCUAAGAAACAUCUUAGGUACUACCGGUUCCAAUCCUCGUCCAUCGACACCAUUCCCCUAAGAGAAAUGGAUUCAUUAAUAAGCGAGAUGUUAUGGCAAAAAUUAAUCAAAGGUCCAACCUUAAUGACCCAAUUAUCGGUCCAAAAUUUGAUACGAUUACAAUCACCCGCAAACCAUGCAACACAUUUGCGCAAAAGUGGCCAAAUCUUUGCAAGUGAUCUCCAAAGAAAGGAACAACAAUUCUUUGUAAUGUCAACCAGGAAAUCAUCAACUAUUUUGUAUUUAGCUCUCAGGAAAAUAACCCAUAAAGCUUUUUUAUUUGUGAGGAAAUUAAACCCCAACUUGAGUAGAAAAGAGUCGUUCUGGACUGUAAACCUCCUGAUACCUAAACCUCCAUUAGAAAGUGGUUGGCAACAAUCAUUCCACCUAACUAAAGAAGGCUGCUGAUUUGUAUUGGAACUCCCCCAAAUAAAACCUUGAGCUAUAUUUUCAAUCUCAUUACAGACAGAAAUAGGAAUCUUAACAGAUUGCAUGAAGUAGUUAGGGAUUGAUAGCAAGACUGAUCGUGCCAAAAUGACUCGACCAACCAUUGAAAGUGGCUUAGCAUCCCAACUAUCCAACUUCCUCCAGAUCUUGUCAAUAACAAAAUGGAAAGUGCUCAUUGUAACUCGUCGAUGAAAUAACGGUACACCCAAAUAAAAAUCCAAAUCAUCAGUCAUGCUAAAUCCCAAUGUACUACAAAUUUAGCAGAAACAUUAACCUCAAUAAUCUUUGAAAAGAAAAUGUUAGUUUUUGGCCCAUUGACUUUAUGCCCCGACGCUGCUCCAAAAAUCCUUAGAACGUUCCGAAUUCUUAUAGCUUGAUUCAUAUAUGUGACACUGGCGGCCCAUUUUUACCAACUGAAAAAGUUUCCACGUCUUAUCCUCAACCUCUUUAUGAGUAAGCUGUCCCAGUCUCUCCAUACAUAGAAUGAAAAUAUAAGGAGAUAAUGGGCAUCCCUGCCGGAUACUUCUCGUUGGUUGGAAUCAGGGAUUCAAAUAACGGAACGUUUUUAGAAUAACGGCGUUAUAUAGCGGUAGCGCCGCCGACCGAAACCGCUAUUGCUGAAAAUAACGGAGGGAAGCGGAUUCACACCGAUAACGGUGGAUAGCGGCCGCAAUUUAACGGAUAACGGACAAUUGCGGCAAUAACGGGCCUCUAUUCCCGUUAUUUUCCGUUUCCGUAAAUUAAAAAAAAAUCAAGUGCUGUAGAUGGACAUGGAUGGUGAUUCUGGUGAAUGAAAUAUUGAAGUGAAUAGUGAAAAGUGAAAAGUGAGAAGAAAGACUGAAUAAUUGUACUUCAUAAUAAAACAAAAGACAAGGGAAUAUAUUCCCUCCCAACCUGCAAUCAAAACAAAGUAAAGUAAAAGACUGAAUCUGAAAGUCGAUUAAAAAAAUCAAAACUCACUCACACAACACAAUACAAGGCAGUACUCAGUAAGUCAGACUCACAAACUCACAUUUCACAGAAUCACAAGCAAACGAAAAGGCAAAAUAUAUUUCUUCAUUCUCCAUAUUUCGGCAAGGCAAAAAACACAGCCACAGGGCACAGGCAGCAAGCAAAGCAAUAGAUCAAGUAAGUAGAGAAAACUAACCCAGUAAAGUACUUGCAUGUCUUGAAUCUGCAACAUAGAGUGAUUUUUUGAUAUUUUUAUCCCUAGAUCUAUAUUCUACACAAAAAAAGGGGGGGUUAAAAUGUUUUCGGCGAUUUCCGACCACCGUGCACGGCGGCGCCGUCGCCGGUGAUCGGCGGCUGCCCCAGUGGCCGAUGGCCGGAUUCUGGGCAACGGCAGAGAAGAAAGAUAAUUGAGAGAAAAAGGCAAAAAAAUUAUUUGAAGAAUCGCUGAAAUGAAGAUUCUGAAAAUUUUUUUCAUUUAAAUAGGCCUUCAAAACGACGCCGUUUUGGGCAGGCCACUCUGGCACCAAAACGACGCCGUUUCGGCCUAACCCGCGCACUUACUCGACCCGUUUACUAGGAUCCGCGUGUUUUUAACAGAAGGGUUAAUUGCGCUUUUAGCCCUUCCUAUUUUUUAUUAUUUACAAUCAAGCUUAUUUCUUUUUUAAUUUUGUCCUAUAAUUUAUUUCGUAUUUCAAUUUGGUCCACCUUGAAGCUGUGCGUUUUGAAGGAUGGGGAUUAUUUCCCAUUUGAUCCAUUUUUGUUAUUUGUGCAUUCAAUUUGGUCCUUUUUCUUUUUAUUUAUUUCGGAUUUGCCGCAAAUUUAUGUUUUAAGUUCGAUUUAGUCCCUUUUUGUUAUUUUUGCUAUUUUAUUAUUAAAUUAAUUAAUUUAAUAUUACUAUUACUAUUAUUAUUUUUCCUUUUUUAUUUUAUUAUUUAUUUACUUGUUAUUAUUACCAUAUUAUUAAAAUUUAAUUAGUUUUGCAUUAUUAUUUCAAUUAUAUUUCUUUUCAUAUUUAUUUACCUAAAUAUUUUAAAUACAUUUAUUUUAUUAUAUCAUUUUAUUUAUCUAUAUAGUAUAUCCUUUCAUAUAAUUUUUAAUUUUAAGAUUUUUAUUAUUGUUAUUAUUAUUAUUAAUACCAUCAUCAUCAUCAUCAUCAUGAUUAUUAUUAUUAUUAUUAUUAUUAUUAUUUAUUACCAUUAUUAUUAUUAUUAAUAAAAUUUUUUACACAAUAUUUAUUUAUUUAUUUCUAUAAUAUUAGGUCUUUACUUUAGCUUUAAAUUUUGUUUACUUUUUUUGGUAUUAUAUUGUUGUUAAUAUAACUAUAUAAGUAAUGAGUUGCUUAUAUUUCUAAAUAUAAUUUUAUGUUUCUUAUAUAAAUAAAAAUAAAGCAUGCCACCACGUGAAGAGUUCCCGACUAAAGGAUUGGAGGGUGCACCAAGUAAUGAUAUAGGUUGGCACUUUGGAACUCUAGUGCCAAAUGCGAGAGGAAGUAUCGUAUGUAAACUUUGUGGUAAAGUUGUGAAAGGAGGAAUAACACGAUUUAAAGAGCACAUUGCUCAUAAAACCGGCAAUGUUGCACCAUGCCCUAAUGUUACUGGUAUGUGAUACUUUAUUAUUAUUAUUAAAUGUUAUUGUAAAUUUAUCAAUAAAGAUUAUAUAUAAUUGAUAAUAAUAUAAAGUGUGAAUUAUUUUUAUUUUAUUAACAGGUGUCAUUAGAGAAAGUAUGAUGAAUGUACUAAAAGAAAGCAACACAAAGAAAAUAGACAAAAAGAGGAGAAAAGAUGAAUUCUUAUCUCAAUUAACAGAAGAGGAGGAUGAGCAUGAGGGAUUCAUUGAUGAGGUUUCUGCUAUAAGGCAAGCAACUCGAGAAAGUAUCCAAUCACAACACGAGUGGUAUAGAAGGGAAGAAUUCAGACGAAGUACUGGUGGUUGGGAUAACAUUUAUGAAGAAGGGCGAUCUUCUCAUGGAUCAGCUAGAGAACAUAAUAGAGAAAGAACAAGUAAAUCUAUUCCAGGUGAGUUUGAGUUUACCUUAAGGGGAGCUAUACCUGAAUUGGUUAGAAGCAAAAGUUCAAAGCAACCAAAGGUCAAUGACUCUUUUUUAAAGAGUUUUCGAAGGAAGAUAGGUGAAGCGGUAUCUAAAUUUAUAAUAUAUGAAAGACUUCCUUUUCAAUUAGCAAGCUCUCCAUGGUUGUAUAACUUAAUUCAAGUGGCAACAGAAGUUGGACAAGGUGUAAAGCUCCCAACACCUUAUGAGGUUUCAGAUGUGUAUUUGGAGUCAGAGUAUCAACGAGUUCAUGAUUGGGUAAAUGUACUAAAGACUCAUUGGAAAGAAUUGGGUGCAACUCUAAUGUGUGAUGGUUGGACCAACAGUUUGAAUCAAAUGCACAUCAUUAAUUUCCUUGUUUAUUGCAGUAAAGGAACCAUUUUUUGGAAAUCGGUAGAUGUCUCAAGUGUCCGUAGUAGAGAUGCUGAAUUCUACUACCGUUUAUUAGAUUCAGUUGUAGAAGAAAUUGGAGAAAAUUACAUUGUCCAAAUAGUGACUGAUAAUGAGGCAGCAAUGAAAGCUGCUGGAAAAAAGUUAAUGUUGAAAAGACAACAUCUAUAUUGGACCUCAUGUGCAGCUCACUGUUUAGAUUUAUGCCUUGAAGAUAUUGGGAAAAAGCCCAGUGUAGCAAAAGUGUUAGAUGAGGCAAAGAAAGUGACUUGCUUUAUAUACAAUCACAUUUGGACUGUUGAUUUGAUGAAGAAGUAUACACAAGGGAAACAAAUACUUCGACCCGCUCUUACUCGAUUUGCAACUCAUUUCAUUCAACUUGAAGAGAUAACAAGACAAAAGCAAGGUUUGAGAGAAAUGUUUAAUUCAAAGGUCAGUAUUUUAUAAUUAGUUAAUAUAAUUACUUAAAUAUAGUAAUCUUUAGUGAUUUUAUUAGUUCCAAAUAAUUUAAAUUAUAUUAUUUUAAAAUUUUUCUUAUGAAUAUAUAGGAAUUUAAAGAAUCAAAAUGGGGAAAGCAAAAGUCAGGGCCUGCUUAUGAAGCCAAAAAUAUUGUUUUGGGAAAAGAUUUUUGGAAAAAAGCCAAUGACCUCAUAAAAGUUUAUGAGCCCUUAGUAAGAGUAUUGAGACUUGUGGAUAGUGAUGAAAAACCAACGAUGGGCUUUAUUUAUGAGGCUAUUGAUAGGGCUAAACGAGCAAUUCAACAAAAUUGUCGAUAUUUCACAGAGUAUGAAAAGAUUAUUGACAAUAGAUGGAAUUUUAUGCAUUCCGACUUGCAUUAAGCUGGUAAGAUAAAAUAUUUCAUAUAAUUAAGAACUAUUUUUAUAUUUUAUUAUUUUAAGCUUUAGAUUAUUAUUAUUUGAUGAUAUUCUUAUAAAUUAUACUUAGGUUAUUUUCUCAACCCUCAAUUUCAAUUUGGGGUGGAGCAUUCUGAGAAUGUAUUAAUAGAAACAUUAGAAGGUACACGAUCAGUAAUUGAAAGAUUAGAACCUUCUAUGGAUACUCAAGUCAGAAUGGUUAAUCAGGUUAGAUUCAACUACUAUUAUUUGUAACUUAGUUAAAUAAUUUGAAAUAGAAUUUUUAUUUUUAUUUUUACUCUAUCUUUUAUUUAUGCAGUUGUUAUUAUUUAGAGAUAAACAUGAGACAUUCGGUACUCCACAAGCACAAAGAGCUUGGAAGCAAAUGAAUCCGGGUAAACAGUUAAUUAAAUUAUUUAAUUUAAUUUAUAUUAUUUAAUUAUAUUGUACAUUUUAAAGUUAUUUUGAAAUUUAAAUAAUAUUAUGCAGCUGAGUGGUGGAUGAUAUAUGGCACAUGUGUUCCCGAAUUACAAAAAUUAGCAAUUAAAGUGCUUAGUCAAACAACUUCAGCAUCAAAUUGCGAACGAAAUUGGAGCACAUUUAGUUAUAUUCACACCAAGGCAAGAAAUAGGUUAAAGUAUAAAAAACUUGAAAAACUAGUGUUUACCUAUUAUAAUAUGAGGCUUAAGAUGAGGCAUCAACAAAGAAUGAGCACUGAUGAUAUAAAUGUUAGUUUUAAUCCUAUCAGCCUUGAUUAUAUCUUUGAAGAUGUUGAUCCACUAUCAGAAUGGCUUCAUGAGAAAGAGAAUCCAUUGUUAGAUGGUGAAAAUGCCGGUGUGUUGCCUGUGGAUACCUCUGAUGAUGAAAUGGAUGUUGAUCAAUCGCAACAACAAAUUUUGUCUCAUUCAAGUUCUAGUUCAACUCCAAGUCAGAGUGGCGAUGGACCCGAUGGUGGUGGUUUAAGUCCAAUUGAUGAGGAUGACGGAUAUAGUGGUGAUAGAGGUGAAAUUAGGUCUUCUAGUCAGUAUGGAGGAGAAUAUGGGGGUGGUACCACUGGUGGACAUUUUCGUGACAGAUCAGAGUUUGAUGGAAAUAUGUUUCCUGAACCUAGGAGAGAUAGAAGUGAACCUAGAGCUCCAUCAAAGGGAAAAGGCAAGAAGCAUACUUCUAUAGGCUCUUCAUCUGGUAGUGGUAGGAGAUCGAGUUCUAGUAACCUUGGGUAUAGUGAUUCAUCUACUAGCACUCAAGGUUUUUAUCCACCAGAACAACCUUCACAUGGUUAUCCACAACCAUAUGGUUAUUAUCCACCAUUUCCUAAUUAUGGUGUGCCAUACCAGCCUCAAAUGUAUCCUCCUCCACCAAUGUAUCACCCACCUCCACCUUUCAUGUAUCCUCCUCCUCAAAUAUAUCCUCCAUAUCAAUUGAAUGAAAACCAAGGUGAAAAUGUUGCUUUUUUUGGAUAUAUUUUUGGACAAAGGCCAAGAGAAUCAAGUCAAGAACGCUCCCAAAGUGAAGGUGAAGGAUUUGAUCUUCCUCGUCAUUCCACUAAUUGGUGAAAACUAAAUCGUGCCACUAUCAUUAUUUGUAAGGUAUGUUUUUUUUAAAGAAAUCCUUUGUUAUUGUUCUUAAUUUUGAUGAUAUUAAAACAUUUAAAAUAAUAUAUAUCUUUAGAUAAAUGAAUGAAGUAUAUUUCAUGAAAAGAUAAUGAAGAAUCGAAGCAUGUUAAAUUAUAUAUGAAAGUAGAAUGAGAUGAGAAUAAGUGGUAGGAAAUAGGAAUAAUUAAUAAGAAUCUAUUCAUUAAUUUAUCUAUUCCUUUUUUCCUUUUGCAGCGUAUUUAUAUCUUCACUAUCUUCAAAGCUGUCAAGAAAUAUUGAAGACAUCUCUCAUGUAUGAAUUCUCAAUUCUUUUAUUUAUAAAAACUUUUAAACUUAUUAAAUAUGAUAAAUGUUUAAUAUUUCUUUUUUUUUACUUUGUUAUUAGUUAAUAUAACAUUCUUAGAAAAUUCGUAAAUAAAUAUAAGAAUAAUUAAUGAUUAUAAAAGUUGUGUUCUCAUGUCAUAUUAAUAAAGGUUCAUAAGUGUUAGAAAACACUCUAAAAAUCAUUAAAAGUGACUUUUUAUAAUUAUAAUUAUAAUUACUAUGUUUUACAGUAAGUUGUGCGAAUUUGAAAAAAAUUCACGACCGCGAUACCCGCAGUGACCGCAAUAGCGUCCAUUAUGUCCACGACCGCGACAAACGCGACGCGACCGAAAACACGACCGCGACCGCAAUUUAAAUCCCUGGUUGGAAUUCCUCCGUAGUAUUACCAUUCCACAUGAUCUGCAUAGACACAGUAGAAACACAGUUCAUAAUAACAUUUGAUAAGGACGAAGGAAUACCUGUAUCCAAUAAAGUGUUUGCAAUAAAGUCCCACCGAAUCCUGUCAUAGGCUUUCUCGAAAUCCACCUUAAUAGCCAUCCAACUCUUCUUGCCUUUCUUAGUUCGUAUAGAGUGAACUAUCUCUUGGGCAAUGAUAAUGUUGUCAGUUAUCUAUCUUCCUGCAACAAAACUUACUUGAUUCUGAGCAAUGAGAAGAGGGAAAACAAGUUUGAAUCAAUUGGCUAUUACCUUUGUUACAAUCUUAUACUAGACAUUACAGAGGCUAAUUGGCCGGUAUUGGGAUAAGGACUCCGGAUUAUAAGUUUUCGGAAUAAGGACCAACAAUGUCUUGUCUAUCGAAUGAUCGAGAGGAGACCCUGAGAACUCACUUCGAACCCAACUGCAAACAUAAAAACCAACAAUACUCCAUUGACUCUAAUAGAAUAACGCAUGAAGCUUAUUCGGUCCCGAGGCAUUCAAGGGACCCAUGCUAAAAAGAGCAUUGCAAAUUUCCUCAUCUGACACAUCCAUAGUCAAUGAAUCAAUAGAAUUUUGCACCAACUUUGAAAACCGACCCCGCAACGGAAACAAGAAAUGAGCUUGAUCAUCCAACGAGUAAAGAGAUGAAGAAUAACGAAUUGCUUCCUCCUACAAGAUCACAUCAUCAUAACACCAAGAGUCUCCCACUUUCAAAGUUAAAAUCUUAUUGAAAUUACGCAUUCGGAUCGUUUUAUUAUGGAAAUAUUUAGUGUUGCGAUCACCAAACUAGGCCUAAUCCACUCUCGACUUUUGUCUCCUUAGGCUUUCUUCUUCAUCCAAGACCGUUUCAUACUCAAUCCACAAGUCGUGUUCCCGAUUCAAAAAGAAAAUAGAAGACCUCCUAUCUGGAGCAGCUUGAACCUUAGCAAUACGAUUAGCUAGAAGCCUUUUCCUAUGACCAAUGUGACCAUAAAUCUCAAAGUUCCACUUUCUGAAAACCUCCAUCAAAGAGGCAAGAUUGUGUGCAAUAUUUGGCCCAAACCUCCAUUUUUCUCGAACAAGUUGAUCAAAAUUCGGAUUAUUAAUCCAAGAAGCCAAGAAAUGGAAUGGCCUUACACAACGAACAGAACUAGGAUUAGUCAUAGAAAUGGGAAUAGGCCUAUGAUCUGACUUCAGCCGUGGAAGGUGAAACACCAAGGCAUCAGAAAAGGUAUGACACCACUCACCAUUACCAAUGGCUCGAUCCAAUCGAAUAUGUUUUAAUAUUGAAUGAUAAUGAAUUUUUAUUUAAAUUUAAUUAAAUUAUUUGAAUAUGUUUUAUUUUUUUCAUUAUUAUUUUUAAAAUUGUAAAAUUUGAUUUAGACGGAUAUGAUUUUUUUUUUACGAAACGGGUUGUGAGGUGGAAUUAAUGUGUAUUAAUUCCAUAGAUUUUAUAUUUAUUUAUUUUGAAUGGAUAUUUUUUAAUUAAAACCUAAAGUAAAGUGAGACGAUUCUAAUCAUUUAUAUGUAAAUAUUAUAUAAUAAGAUGUACUUAAAAAAUAUUAUGUACUAUGAUAAAUGUAGAUUUAUUCAUGGAUCGGACUAUUCGGCCCGGUCUAAAGGGCCACCUAAAAAUUGGAAAGAUUUGGAUAAAAAUAUAAAUUCAAAAAAUGGGCUUAGUAAAAAUAUAUAUAUAUUGUAGAAGCCCAAAUUUGCCCGGGCCCUAACAGCAAAACAAAUUUCAGCCCAAAUGGCCCAGUUACAUUAUAAAAUUAAUUGGACCAGCCCAAACACCAACCCACAAGCCCAAUUACAACCCAAACCCGAGGCCCAAAUCUGGAGCCCAAUUCCCCCCAAAAACCCAACUAGGGUUUCAGAAAAAUGAAACCCUAGCCAAACCUAGCGCCGCAUCCAUCCCUCUGUCGUUCGCCUUGUCCCAUCGCCACCUACCGUGCCUAGCUUCAUCAACACCUGCAAAAUGGCAGAAAAAGCCGGAGCACGCAACAGAUAGUGCAAAAACAAUAGAAUACAACCAGAAAAAAAUACAAUGUAAAUUGGCUAUAAAAGCCAAACAAUAUCUCUGUACAAGGUUUUUUUUUUAGACAGCGUUUUUGAAUCCAAAAAAAAAAGAAAAACAGAUCAAAAGGUUGACUCCAAUUUAUUCUUCUCUGUUCUUGUUUCUUAUUUACUUUACUCUUUAUUUAUUGUUUAUUUUUUUCGCAUUCGUUCAACAAAGAAAAAGGAAUUGAAAGGGAGAGGAGAAAAUACCUUACCGCUUCGACGGGCUGGUGUCGGAACCCCACCCUUGCCGUCGUCGGAUUCGAGCCGAAAGGGGCGUCUCAUCCCUUUUCCUUUUGGUCUUGCGGUUGAGAAGGCUUAGCCUUCGGGGACGCCGCAAAAAUGGGAGGCUUAGGGGCCUUUCUCGCGCAACUCCGGCCAUUGGCCAUGGAGGCGGAGAUGGCGGCCUGAGCUUAAAGGGCCGAGAGAGAUGUAGGGAGGAGAGCACUCGGGCUCUCAGUUUUCCUUUUUUUUUGUUUUUUUUUUAUUUUUUGAUUGUUUAGAAAAUGAAAUGGAGGCUGCCAGAUUAGGGUUCUUUUUGGCCCUUGCUUGAUGUGUGAAACGACGCCGUUUGGAGUCUGAUCAGUGGCUCCAAAACGGCGUCGUAUUGAGCUCUGACCCGCGCGGUGACCCGACCUAGGGGAAGGAUCCGCGUGUUUUCUUUAAAUGGGAUAUUUGCGCGCGUAGUCCCUCCGACUUUGUAGCGCGUUGCAAUCUGGUCCUAUUUCGCUAUUUCCUAUUUUUCAAUGUAGCCCCAGAAUUCUAUUUUUGUUCUAAUUUGACCCUCUACUGCACUGUGUUUUGGGGCUUCGGGGUAUUUACCAUUUUGGUCCCCCUUUUUUUGCGCAUAUUACAUUUUGAUCCUUUAUUCUGUUUUAUUUUUUAUUUCAGCCCUGAGAUUUCGUUCACGUUUUGAAUUAGUCCUAUUAUUAUUAUUACUAUUAUUAUUAUUACCUAUUUAUUUAUAUUGAUUUUAUUUAAACUUCUGGUACAUAUAUAUAUAUUUAUAUAUUUUACAACUUAUGUACCUAUAUAUAUAUCUAUAUACAUAUUUUCAUUUUCAUAAAUACAUACAUAUUUAUAUAUAAUCUUUAUAGUCUAAAAUACACCUUUUUUAUAUUUUUUUUAAAUCCGCAUAUACAUACACAUUUUCAAUAUAUGUUUAGUAUGUAUAUAAAUUAACGUAUUUAUUUGUAUACAUAUGUAUAUUUUCAUUAGUUUUAAACUUUAGUUUGUACAUAUAUACUUUUUCUUUUAUUUUACAAUAUAUAUACACUUACUUUUUAUAUGUAUUCCUUUAUCUUCGUAUUCCAUAGUUUUAUACACCUAUAUGUACAUAUUUUUAUAUAUACGCAUAUUUAUUUAUCUUAUAUAAAAUAUACCUUAUAUGUUUUGUUAAUUCACGUAUACACAUAUUUUUGUUCAUGUCUAUAUAUAUCUUUUUAUACUUAAUUGUAUUUGCUAUUUAUUUAUUUCAUUUUUGUUAUUAUUUUGAAUGAAUGAUUUAACUUUAUUCGUUCUUUAUUUUGUUAUUUUGUAUGUUGUAAGCUUGAUCGUUCAUAUUGAUUGCUAUAGCUUGCAUCGUUUUUAUAUUUUCAUGUUCAUUAUGAUUUUGCCAUGCAUAAAUAAUGUAAUUUGCUUUCACUAUAAUUUUGUGCUUUAUUUUUACUCGAUAUAACAAAAUUUAUUUUUUUUUAAAAUGGCAUUUCGUGUUUGGAUUCGAGAAAAUCGUGCCCUAACUUACUGGGUUUCGAUUUUCUCGAUAAAUCUAAAUGUACGAAUCUUUUUAAACUCAAAUUUUAGAUGACCUCGGGAUUAAAAAAUCACGUCCUAACUUACUGGUCGUGAUCUCAUUUUUAAAUCCGAGAUGGCUAAAAUAUCUUUUAAAUAAGCAUUUUUCAUUCGCGUAUCGAGAAUUUGAGAUAUUGUAUUCUAACUUACUGGAUAUGAUUCUCUUUCUCGAUUAACGUGAAAUAUAUUUCUUUUUCCAAAAAAUUUCAUUUUAAUACAAGGAUCGUAUUUUUAAUUCUUUCAAGUUCUCAAUUUUCGACAUCAAGACAUUAGAUAAUCAACUAGGUACCAAUUUCUGGGCGUUACGAGGGUGCUAAUCCUUCCUCGUACGUAACCGACUCCCGAACCCGUUUUCUAAAUUUCGUAGACCAAAACCGUUGUUUUAAUAAAAUCAAAUUAUUUAUUAAAAACAACCUUUUUCCAAGGUGACCCAAUCACACCUCAAAAAGGAUUGGUGGCGACUCCCUUUUUUAUUUUCAAAACCCAAGUCGACCCCGUUUUUCAAUCAAAAAAAUGGUGUCAACAUAUAUAUAUACGUUCUUAUGCAUUGGCAACAAUGUCUAUGACAAUUGAGCUAAGACUCAACCGACUAAUUCCAUAAAUUUUAUAUUUAUUAAUUUUGAAUAGAUAAUUUUCUAAACUAAAACCGUAAUGCUAAAGUAAAGCGAGAUGAUUCUGAUAAUUUAUAUGUAAAUAUUAUAGUUACAUGCAAAUAUUAUAUAAUAAGAUGUACUAAAAAAUAUUAUAUACCAUGAUAAAUGGUCGGUAAGUUGGAGAUGAAUAUAAGACUAUAAAGGUAAAAUUGUUAGUUAAGCUCCUAUACAUAGGGGAAGAUUGCAUUUCAACCCUUUUAUUGAAAAAAUGAGCAAACUAGUCUUUAUAUAUUUCGAAACAUACAAAUUAGCUUAUCCGUUUCUUUUUGUAUCAAGACUUAAUCAUAGACUGGGUCAUUCGGUCCAACUCAAAGGCAUGUCCAAAAAGUUCAGACUCUUCAGAAUUAAUAAAAGCACAAGUUAGAUAUAUGAUAAAGUUAUAAUUUAACCCCAAAAUUGUUAAAACUUCAAUUUAAUCAUUUUAAAUACCAUAAAAUAUAAUUAAAUAAGUAUUUUAACUCUCAUAAAAAAAAUUUUUAAUCUCGCCGUGCAUUUAUCUAAUUACAUACUAGUUAUUAGUUUGUUAUUUUCAUCUUAUUCAUUGCUAUUAGUUGAAUAAAUCGAAAAGUAAACGCAUAAACACAAAAUAUUAUUCAAAGCUCCAUUUUAUUCAAAUUUUUUCAGUAUUCAUCACAUGUUUCUUUCAAAAAGAAUAAAAUAAAACAUUCGUUCACAUGUUCAUUUUUCAUAUAUGUAGCUUAUUGUAGCAUGUAAGAAAACAAAGAAACAAUGGAGGCCCCAACCAAUGAUCCAAGAACAGGCAAGGUUGUGGCAGCCAUGCUGGAAUCCGGUCCUGAUGCUGGAGCGGAACCAGGAGAGGAGCUAGGACUAGAACCACCGGCUGAAGGGGCAGGAGAUGGAGCACCGGCAGCCAUGACGGCGCUCAUUGAGGCGGCAGCAACAAUGAUGGCGGUGGAGACCUUCUUCAUGUCCAUGGCGUAUAAAGUGAUUAUUAAACGCACUGGAAAUGAAUGAGACCUGCGUUUAAUUACAGGGAUCCGCCGGUGAUUGUUAUUAUUUGCUUUGUUAUAUCAGGUCUGAAGAACAAUGAUGGUGGGGAGGAUCUUUUAUAGGUGAAAAUUCAUGGCUAUUUUUAGUGGCGAAAUUUUUUUUUUAAAUUACGUGUUUGGUUCUCGCAUGGUUUGCGGGAUAGACAUGCAAAUUUUUUAAAUAUUUUUUAAACGAUUUUGACUGGAUUUUUUAGAUAGGGGGAUUUUAAUAUUUUUUUAAGAGAAAGAGAGUAGUAAAUUAACUGUAAUUACAUCAACAUCAUCUUGCAAAUUAUUUAGAAUGGAAGUAUCAAUUGUUGGGGAGAAAAAACAAAUUAAUGGAGACCCAAUUAUAGUCAAAUAUCAUUUCAGCUAAAGCAUUAGUCACUCCAUUAGAUUUCCUUAAAUAUGCUUGAUGUGAACCGCGCAAAGCUCUUUUAUUCUGCAUACUAGUUCCCUUUUCACUCACCAUUAAUUGCUUGAACUAUAGUUAAACAAUCACAUUCUAAAACAAUCAAUUUCCACCCUUUAGACCAAAGCAAUUUAAGUCCACCAUAGAUUGGCCAAGGUUCUGCUUGUUAAACACUACAUUUUCCAAUAUUAUGAUCAUAGCCAAAUAUCCAUCUACCAUGGUUGUCUCUAGCAAACUCAGCUGAGCAGGCAAGUUUGGUAUAAAGUUUCCCUACACCGUCUGUGUUCAUUUUGACGCAAUCAAUUAUUGGUUGCUGCCAGGUGUUUGGUUUGAUUCAAUUUUUAACCUUAAUCAUUGGUUCCCUAUUAUGUUUAACAUUCACAACCCAACUCCAAGCCGAUCUUACAAGCAUACUAGAAUUAUGAGGAACAUUUUCAAAAACAAAAGAAAUAUUCCUUUGUUUCCAUACAAACUAGCAUAGUAUACCUAACAGGUGAUUCAAUUAAAAUCUUUGAAAUGUAAAUUUAGUUUAUUAGAAAGGUUGAAAUUCACCCAAGAUAAAAGUGACGGACAUAAGAACUUGGAGUAAAAUGAAUUCGGAAUGAACUACAUCCAUACUUCCUCAGCUUUGGAACAAUCAUUAAGUAUAUGAAAAAAAUUUAUUCUACAAAUCCAAAAAUGCAGCAACUGGCGUCAUCCGUCAAUCCGCGUCUUUCCAUACUAAUAUAUUUUAAUAGUAAAAUAGACCACAAAAUUAACUUGAGUCAAUUUGAAGUUUUUUUAAAAAUUCAGAAAAUACAAUUAUAAAACAAUUAUAAAUAUAUGUCCAAUCAAUUAUAGUAUAGAAUUCAAUUAAUUACAACUAUAAAAUAAAUACAAAUAUAUUUAAACACCCUUUUGUCUUCAUUCCUAUCUUCACCCUCUUUAGUGGUAGGAGGCAAAAGGAGGGGGUUGAUAAGGGCUUUACACCCUCUCUUAAAUGGGUUUAGACUCUCCAAAAUUCAUAAAAACAUAAGUUAAAUAUAAGGUAAACUGUAAAAAUAAUCACUUUUGUUUGUAUUAGAUUAUAUUUUAGUCAUUUAUAUUUGAAAUGUUACGUUUUAGUCAUUUACAUUAUCAUUUUGUUACGAAGUAGUGACUCUGCCGUUCAGCUCCGUUACCUCCCUAAAGACAAUCCUAUGUGGGAUAGUCACUUUUGUUUGUCUUAUAAUACAUUUUAGUCACUUCUAUUUGAAAUGUUAUGUUUUAGUCACUUGUAUUAUCGUUUUGUUACGAAGUAGUCACCGUGUCAUUCAUCUCCGUUACCUUCCUAACAACAAUCCUAGAUGGCAGUCUAAAUUGGUUUUAAAUGCCAACUUGGAUGUCCAACUGGGAUGAGAAUAGUUUUUGUUAAGACGAACGGUUUUUGUUUUCCAAUUCAAGGUGUAAUUAAUUUAAAAUUUACAAUUAAUUAAAUUUAGUUAAUUAAAAACCUAUUCUCGUACCAAUUAGGCAUCCAAGUUGACAUUUAAAAUCGAUUUGGACUACCACUUAGGAUUGCCGUUAGAGUGACCACUUUCUAACAAACGAUAACGUAACAUUUCAAAUAUAAGUGACUAAAAUGUAACCUAAGGCAAAUAAAAGUGACUAUUUUUAUAAUUUACCCAGUCUAAAUUGGUUUUAAAUGCCAACUUGGAUGUCCAACUGGGAUGAGAAUAGUUUUUGUUAAGACGAACGGUUUUUGUUUUCCAAUUCAAGGUGUAAUUAAUUUAAAAUUUACAAUUAAUUAAAUUUAGUUAAUUAAAAACCUAUUCUCGUACCAAUUAGGCAUCCAAGUUGGCAUUUAAAAUCGAUUUGGACUACCACUUAGGAUUGCCGUUAGAGUGACCACUUUCUAACAAACGAUAACGUAACAUUUCAAAUAUAAGUGACUAAAAUGUAACCUAAGGCAAAUAAAAGUGACUAUUUUUAUAAUUUACCCUUAAAUAUAUGAUAAAUUAUAAGUUAACCCCAAAAUUGCUAAGUUUUCAAUUUAAUCAUUUUAAAUACCAUAAAAUAUAAUUAAAUACGUAUUUUAACUCUAAUAAAAUAUAUACUUUAACCUUUAUUUCCCUAAAAAAAAAAUUUCCAACUUCCCCCUGCAUUUAUCUAUUUACAUACCAUUUAUUAGUUCAAUAAUUCAUUGUUAUUUUCAUGUUAUUAGUUGAAUAAAUCGAAAAGUAAAAGCAUAAAAACAAAAUACUUUUCAAAGCUCCAUUUCAAUUUUUUCAAUAUUCAUCACAUGUUUCUUACAAAAAAUAAUAAAUAAAAUAAAAUAUUCGUUCACAUGUUCAUUUUUGAUACAUGUAGCUUACUGCAGCAUGUAAGAAAACAAAGAAACAAUGGAAGCCCCAACCAAUGAUCCAAGAACAGGCAAGGUUGCGGCAGCCACGCUGGAAUCUGGUGCUGAUGCUGUGACGGAAGCAGGAGAGGAGCUAGGACUAGAACCACCGGCGGAAGGGGAAGGAGCAGGUGCACCGGCAGCCAUGACGGCGCUCAUUGAGGCAGCAGCAACAAUGAUGGCGGUGGAGACCUUCUUCAUGUCCAUGGCGUAUAAAGGGAUUAUUAAACGCACCGGAAAUGAACGAGACCUGCGUUUAAUUGCUGGAGAAUGGGGAUCCGCCGGUGAUUGUUAUUAUUUGCUUUGUUAUUGCAGGUCUGAAGAAGAAUGGUGUUGGGGAGGAUUAUUUAUAGGUGAAAAUUCAUGGCUAUUUUUAGUGACGAAAUUUUAAAAAAAAAAUUUACGUGUUUGGUUUUUGCAUGGUUUGCGGGAUAGACAUGCAAAUUUUUGAAUUUGUUUUAGCGAUUUUGACUGGAUUUUAUGGUUAGGGGAUUUUAUUAUUAUUAUUUUUUGGUAAGAGAAAGAGGAGUAGUAAAUUACAGAAUAAUAAUUACCUCAAUCAAUAUCAUUUUGUAAAUUAUUCAGAAUGGAAAUAUCUAUUUGUUGAGGGAUAAAGAUCAAUAAAUUCAUGUUGAUCCAAUUGAUAGUUAAACAUCAUUAUCAAUACAGGAGGAUGUGAGUUCGAGCGGGUUUAUCCUUCUAUUGAAAAGCUUGGAUGAGUUAUGGGUAGUUCUAAGCAUUGUAUCAACUUAUACUUUCACGGUUGAAUUAGAUUAUAAAAAAAAGGUACUAAGUAAGCUCCUGUAUUUAGGGUGUAUUGCAUUUCAGCCCUUUUACUAAAAUAGUGGCUAAAUUAGCCUUUAUGUAUUUCGAAACGUACAAAUUGGAUCAUCCUUUAAAUUUUAUCUAUUAAAUGAUGAUGUGGAACGUUAAAUCUAUGCUGAAAAUUAUUUUUUUAUAGGUAAACUAUAAAAAUGAUCCGUUAACUAUGUCUUUCGUUGUAUUCUAUUUUGGUCACCCACUUAUUAUUUUUUGUUUUGUUCAUAUCAAAUUAAUUAAUUUUUUAUUUCUUGAUUCAACCUAAAACUAUAUGGUUCUACAUUUUAAAAACAUUGAUUAAUAAUGACUAAGAAUUUUUCAUAAAUAAGACAUAUAAAAUAAAUUUUUGAAAAUUUUAUAUUUACAAAGAUGAAAAUCAAUCAAAACAUAGGAAAAAAAAACCCAAUUUCUUGUUUAAAAAAUCCAAUAAAAAUUUUAAAUAUAUAUUUAGAGAAAUAUGUUUUUAUUUAAUUUUAAAUAAUUUUUUUACAGCUUUUGUCUUGUUAGCUAUUAUUAAAUAAUCGAAUCAAUUUACUAUUUAAUCAAUUCAACCAACCAAUCUAAUGAAAUUUGAAGAAUUUGGUUUCUCAAGGUGGAUAUACACUUCAGUUCAAUUACUAUUUAUCAAUUGGGUCCUUAUUGGCUAAAAAUGAAUUUCUUUUAUACAAACAUAUAUUUAAAUUUUUAGAGGUAGGACUAAAUUGAUAGAUUUUAUAAAUAUUGAGGGUCAAAUUUAUUAUUUUUUUAAAAUUAUAAUUAAAAAAAUAAAUUUUGUAAACAUUGAGGACUAAAUUUGUUUAAUUUUUAUAUUUAAGAUCAAAUCGAUAGAAUGUAUAAAUAUUAGAGAGCUAAUUUUAUUACUAGACCAAUAAAAUAAGCCCACAUUUAUCUGAUUACAUACUAAUUAGUUCAAUAAUUCAUUGUUAUUUUCAUGUUAUUCAUUGUUUUGAAUAAAUGGAAAAGUAAAAGCAUAAACACAACAUACUUUCCAAAGCUCCAUUUCAAUUUUUUUCAUUAUUCAUCACAUGUUUCUUUCAAACAAUAAAAAAUAUAAUAUAAAAUAUAAUAUUCGUUCACAUGUUGAUUUUUCAUACAUGUAGCAUGUAAGAAAACAAAGAAACAAUGGAAGCCCCAACCAAUGAUCCAAGAACUGGCAAGGCUGUGGCAGCCACGCUGGAGUCUGGUCCUGAUGCUGGGGCAGAACCGGGAGAGGAGCUAGGAAUAGAACCACCGGCGGAAGGGGAGGGAGCAGGUGCAUCGGCAGCCAUGACGGCGCUAAUUGAGGCGGCAGCAACAAUGAUGGCGGUGGAGACCUUCUUCAUGUCCAUGGCGUAUAAAGGGAUUAAUAUUAAACGCACCAGAAAUGAACGAGACCUGCGUUUAAUUGCUGGAGAAUGGGGA
This 23331-nucleotide long non-coding RNA is filed under the name Gossypium barbadense (sea-island cotton). Its description in RNAcentral is "long non-coding RNA (GBAR_LNC021329)". The record is from RNAcentral. Lineage: Eukaryota; Viridiplantae; Streptophyta; Magnoliopsida; Malvales; Malvaceae.